Molecule: long non-coding RNA, 935 nt
Filed under: Sorghum bicolor (sorghum)
Lineage: Eukaryota; Viridiplantae; Streptophyta; Magnoliopsida; Poales; Poaceae
Description: long non-coding RNA (SBIC_LNC005163)
Source: RNAcentral
GGAUCAACUCAAUAAAUGCAUUCAGAGUUGGGUAGCCAACCUAAAAUGAAAGAAAUGGUCAGAACAAUAGGUGUUGUAUGCAGUUGCUGGGCGGCACUGAACAAAAAUAUAGAUCACAGUUGCGUAACUUGCAUAGACCAUCUUGAAUUCUAGUCGGAGGGCGCCGCCGACGUAAUUGCCGGUGUGGCUGCCCCCCGGCGGCUGUGCCCCCGCCAGACGCACCCCUGGUGGCCUGUGCUUGUGCUGCCCUAGUAAUCAGAUCAGAUCCAAGCACAAAUAGUAAGUUAGGGUUUGGGUGCUUGUUUUGUCAAAGCACGAAAGGACGACCACGGAUGAGCGUACCUGGUGGCAGAAAGGUCGUGCGGAUCCUUGGAGGAGUGCCCGACGAGGCCAUCGCAAGGGCAGCUUGCAAGUCACCGGAGAGGUCGCCCGCCGAGGAAGAGGAGUUUGCUCGUGACCUUGGAGGUUUUUUAUUUUUUCCUUCAUAGGCAUAGGCAUACAUACGUACAUACAUUGUUUUUUUCUAUUUUCCAGUGACUUCAUUCGAACUUGCGUCGUUCAUAUUCGUUAGAGGGGAGGGCGUGGCUUGAGAGGGUGAGAAGCCUCACAUAAAAGGCCGAGGGUGUGUAAAGUCGUGAUCAUACUUUUAAUCUGGGCCGUUAAAUCUGUAGGAUAUAUGCUGUGAGUCGUUGAUCUUGCAGGUGGGAUUUGCCUAGAGAAGAUUUCAAUUACAGUAGAGAUUACUACUACUACUACAUUGUAAAACCAAAAUAUUUGAUAGUGUCAUGAAAAAAAGGGAAAAUCUUAACCGUAGCGGGCGCGCUAUACUGCCCGCCACAGUUAAUACUUAACCGUGGCGGGCGCCCUUACCCGCCCGCCAUAGUUAAUGUUAACCGUGGCCGGUGGCCUAACUUGCCUGUCUUGCUUAAUGUUUG